UUAUCAUCCCCCUAGUGGCCGAAUGAUAGAAGUUUAUACAACUCAACCUGGUGUUCAAUUUUAUACAGGAAAUUUCCUGGAUGGGACUCUAAAGGGUAAAGAGGGCCAGGUGUACUUCAAACAUUCUGGUUUCUGCCUUGAAACACAAAAUUGGCCAAAUGCCGUGAAUCAGCCUAAUUUUCCAGAUGUCCUGCUGUACCCAGGAGAUGAAUACAAUACCACAACAUGUUUCAAGUUCUCUGUAUCUUAAAUGAAAUCAUCAUGUUCUUGUGCCAUAUUCCUCAUCGGACAUUGGUGAUCAUGUUGGCAAUUCUAUUUUUGUCAACAGCUGCAUGAAAAAGUGCUGCUGAGUUUUGUCCAAACCAGUCCCUUAGGUUUUGAAACCAAAUGAAAUCUUGCUACAAGUUAAUUUUGCAAAAAUAUUUUAAGUGAUUCAAGCAGAUUCUGAAUAUCCUAAUUAUAGCUCAAAUUUCAUCAGCCAUUAAAAAGGUAGUAUUUGGAUAAGUCCCCACUUCAUAGUAUAAAAGUAGCAAAAUUUAAGUUCAGUCAACAAAUUGAAUAUUAUCAUCUCUACCUGCAGUUUACCACCUUUUGAUAGAUUUUAUAUUACACCAUGUAAAUAGGAAGUGAAGUCCUAAUUUAAAAUCACGAAGACUUUCAUUAAGGUGGUUUGUGGCAAUGUUCCUUACAGUGCAGGUAUUACUGAGACGUCAUAAUCUGAUCAGAUAUUUGGUAAUGCUGUUUCCACUAUUCCAGAAUUUAAGAUUCCAAACAUUG
Thamnophis sirtalis is the source of this 777-nucleotide non-coding RNA. The record is from RefSeq and is a predicted model, not a curated record. Lineage: Eukaryota; Metazoa; Chordata; Lepidosauria; Squamata; Natricidae.